Molecule: ribosomal RNA, 495 nt
Filed under: uncultured bacterium
Lineage: Bacteria
Description: partial 16S ribosomal RNA
Rfam family: Bacterial small subunit ribosomal RNA
Source: RNAcentral
GAUGAACGCUGGCGGCGUGCCUAAUACAUGCAAGUCGAACGCUGAAGGAGGAGCUUUCUCUUCUGGAUGAGUUGCGAACGGGUGAGUAACGCGUAGGUAACCUGCCUGGUAGCGGGGGUUAACUCUUGGAAACGAUAGCUAAUACCGCAUGACCACAGUUAUUGCAUGAUAACUGUUUAAAAGGGGCAACUGCUCCACUACCAGAUGGCCCUGCGUUGUAUUAGCUAGUUGGUGAGGUCACGGCUCACCAAGGCGACGAUACAUAGCCGACCUGAGAGGGUGAUCAGCCACACUGGGAAUGAGACAAGGCCCAGACGCCUAAGAGAGGCAGCAGAAGGGAAACUAAGGCAAAGGACGGAAGGCUGGACGAGCAACGCCGCGAGAGUGAAGAAGGUUUUCGGAUGGUAAAGCUCUGUUAUAAGAGAAGAACGAGAGUGAGAGUGGAAAGUUCACACUGUGACGGUAUCUUACCAGAAAGGGACGGCUAACUACGUG